Long non-coding RNA from Quercus lobata, 720 nucleotides. RefSeq lists it as uncharacterized. Lineage: Eukaryota; Viridiplantae; Streptophyta; Magnoliopsida; Fagales; Fagaceae. The record is from RefSeq and is a predicted model, not a curated record. The transcript is spliced from 4 exons.
AGUUACAAAACCAGCCAGGGAGGGCCCAAACAAACAAAGUUAUCUUAAGUUCUUAACAAAUAAAAUGCAGUGCCCUGUGCCCAAAUAUUUAUAAUUUUAUACCUGAUUCCUGAACCUCAGAACCUGAUACGGUGGGGUGAGGUGAGCAGUUGAGACUUGAGAGAGGCGGAGAGCAGAGAAUCAGAGAGAGGCUGAGGCGGUUCAGCUGGAGACUGGAGACUAGAGAGAGGCGGAGAGCAGAGACUAGAGAGAAAGGUUUCAAAGUUAUGAACUGGAUACAGCGCAAGAUCUAUCUUUACAAUGUCACUUUUGGGCUCUACAUGUUGGAUUGGUGGGAGCGUUAUCUUUUCAAUACGUUGGUGAUUGUCUUGAUGUGGUUCGUUCUUUACAAUGGAUCACGAUAUGUGACUGAGUUCUGCAAGAGGUGGGGUUGGCAUAUUGAACCUGAUUGGCAGAAUUCAGUGGCAGGAAUACGUGGGAGUUGAGAGCUGCUGGAAGUACAAUGCAUUGCAUAUGCCUUUCUUUCUUCCAUUUCUUUUCCCCCCCAAAUUCCUACAUUUAGGAUUUCUUGUGUUAUGUAUACUCCUGAGGCAAAAAAAAUAUUUGCUAUGCUUUGUACUAAUUCUUCAUAUUCCUUAGUCUUUGUUAUAUCUGCUGUCCAUGUCAAACAUAUUUUGAUGAGAAAAUGUUGUUACAUGUGGCUGCCUAGAGAUUCUACAA